GGAGAUGUAGCUUAGUAAUGGAGCAUUUGCCUGGUAUGCAGAAGGCCAUGAGUUCAAUCCCCAGUACCACUA
This 72-nucleotide transfer RNA is filed under the name Fukomys damarensis (Damara mole-rat). It matches the Rfam family "tRNA". From Rfam's summary of the family: Transfer RNA (tRNA) molecules are approximately 80 nucleotides in length. Lineage: Eukaryota; Metazoa; Chordata; Mammalia; Rodentia; Bathyergidae. The record is from Rfam by way of RNAcentral.